AAACAGACUGAAAGUCUGACGGAAACCUGCACACACGAAACUUUGUUUAGUUUUGAGGGGAUCACCCUCAAGCACCCUAGCGGGUGCGACUUUGUUCUUUGAAAACUGGAUAUCAUUGUAUUAAUUGUUUUAAAUUGCCGAGAACACAGCGUAUUUGUAUGAGUUUCUGAAAAAGAAAUUCGCAUCGCAUAACCGCUGACGCAAGUCAGUACAGGUUAAGUUACAAAGGGCGCA
RNAcentral lists this unclassified non-coding RNA (234 nucleotides) under Lacticaseibacillus casei. RNAcentral describes it as "Lactobacillus casei 16S-23S intergenic spacer region". Lineage: Bacteria; Bacillati; Bacillota; Bacilli; Lactobacillales; Lactobacillaceae. The record is from RNAcentral.